RNAcentral lists this ribosomal RNA (486 nucleotides) under uncultured bacterium. RNAcentral describes it as "bacterial SSU rRNA". It matches the Rfam family "Bacterial small subunit ribosomal RNA", at positions 28 to 507 of the family's 1533-position model. The record is from RNAcentral.
GAUGAACGCUGGCGGCGUGCUUAACACAUGCAAGUCGAACGGAGUAGUUCCGCUGACGAGACUUCGGUCAAAUCUUGGGACUACUUAGUGGCGGACGGGUGAGUAACGCGUGGGUAACCUGCCGUAUGCUGGGGGACAACAGUUGGAAACGACUGCUAAUACCGCAUAAGCGCACAGUACCGCAUGGUACAGUGUGAAAAACUCCGGUGGCAUACGAUGGACCCGCGUCUGAUUAGCUGGUUGGUGAGGUAACGGCCCACCAAGGCGACGAUCAGUAGCCGGCCUGAGAGGGUGAACGGCCACAUUGGGACUGAGACACGGGCCCAAAACUCCUACGGGAGGCAGCAGUGGGGAAUAUUGGACAAUGGGGGAAACCCUGAUCCAGCGACGCCGCGUGAGUGAAGAAGUAUUUCGGUAUGUAAAGCUCUAUCAGCAGGGAAGAAAAACAUGACGGUACCUGACUAAGAAGCCCCGGCUAACUACGUG